This 1880-nucleotide long non-coding RNA is filed under the name Homo sapiens (human). Its description in RNAcentral is "long intergenic non-protein coding RNA 635". The record is from RNAcentral. Lineage: Eukaryota; Metazoa; Chordata; Mammalia; Primates; Hominidae.
GAACAUCUUACGGAUGGCCCAGGGCUCCAAAGGCUCGUUUCCUAAGUGAGAGAGAGCCUGGCUGAAGCUGUAUUACCAUUCAUUCUCCAGCCUCCGAAGUCUCAAAGCAUCACUUCCACCAUACUCUAACUGUCAAGACAAACACAAAGGCCCAGAAACUGCCAGACUGUCUUCUGAAGUGGCUAUAAUAUUUACACUCCCAUCAGCAGUGUAGAAGGGGUCUCACUAUGUUGUCUGGAGUGCUGUGGUGGAGUGGAGUGGCUAUUCACAGCUGAGUUUGCAGAGUAAACCACUACCCUGAAAUCUGGAAAGGCAGGUGCACCCACAGAUCCUCAGCUGAGAUCCAAUUACCUGAAAUAGAAGCUGCCAUUAGGAACACUUAAAAGAGCCUGUUCUGCUGGGACACAGAAUCACUUGCUCCAUCUCAUACAUUGAUGAUGAUUAAUUUGUAUGUGUACCUUCCAAAAAAGAUGGUUGUGUUUGAAUGGAGGCCUUCUGGACAGGAAAAUGUACACAAAGCAUUACAGCAUUAAGUCAGCAGAGCGAAGGACCAUGAUUUUGCAAUGAAAAUAAUAAUUUAGAUGGAGAGUGCGUGCUUUGGAUUCAAGACUGGGAAUGAGGGGACCAGAAACCUAUUCUGUGGCUGUUUCUUGUUAGGACUUUCCUAAGCCUCUGGAAAAGUGCAAAGUACAAUUAACAUUUGAGUCUGUCUGAGUCAUGAAGAAAUGGAGAUUACUGAAAAUAAUUCAUUUUGGUAUCUUCUUACAUCCUGAGAGACUAAUCUUUCCAAGUUCAUCUGAGGCUCCUCUUCUCCAUGACAACCUCAUCCAGGGAUUUCUUCCUGUCCUGGUGUUUUAUGACAUCAUCCUCAUCUCGCUUGUAAGGAUAAUAGCCUUCCUCCAAACCUCACACACUUUUGGAGGAGAUCACUUUUUUUAAAGUGCAUGGAAAUGUUUUGAAACAGUGAAAUCUAUAAUGAUAGGUUUCAUAAUUCUAACAUCCACACCAUAUGAAUCACAUCCUUCCUGAGAUAAUGAGCACACAAUUGCCUGGAUACCUGAAGGAAUGGAGACAGCGGCAGAAAACACUGCAGAGAGGUGGAAACAUCCGUUAAUAUUUUAAAAUCCCAUUACUGCUACCAACAAUAAUAAUGGAUGCAUAGAAAUAGAUCUGGAUUAGCUGAGCUUGAAACAGUCCAUCUCACACACACACAAAAGAAUUUCAGAUACAGUGAACCCACAUGUUGAAGCUUUCUAGUAUAAUAAAAAUUUCAACUGUUCUGUUGAAUCAUCUGCCUGAUUGGAGGCUACAGAAAAGAUGUCAUCUUAGGAGUGCUUGCUCUGAGUGAGGCUCAUCUUCAAAUCUGAAUGACCACAAGGAGAUUUGAUUAUACAUGUGAACACCUCAGAAGGCACAGCCCACCCAGAAGGCAGACAGGUCAGGCUGCUUUUUCUUCAUUGCUUGGAUUCAAUCCUCCGGGCGGCUCAGGCUCAAACAUAACUUAAGCAUGAUUAAACUUUAGAAGAAGCUGCCAGGAAGACUGUGAAAUCUUCAUGCCCAAGGAUCCCUAAAAUUAGGAGCAACAACCACUUGGCUCAGACGGUUUAUGGAGGCAAAGGUUUGGAUGGGAUUAGAGAUUUCUAAAUGUGAGUUCGUGUCCUCUGCCAGACCACCUUACUUCCACCAUUCCUCAGCAAAUCAAGAAAAACAGGAGAAAAGACAUGCCUUUCCAUAAGUUAAAUCUAUUCUGUUUUAAUUCUAUAUUAUAUCUGCUGUACAACUUCUUUUGUUUGUAACACCAUAUUGUUGCUAGUAACUGGAAAUUAAUUUUCACAUGCCUCAGCUUAGAAAAAUAAAAAGCAGCCCUGCAUCAAUCCCAA